UGAGGAACAUGACCUUCGGCGGGGGAUAGCCGGCCCAACGGCCGGGUAAUACCGCGUACGACCACAUGGGGACAUCCCUGGGUGGUGAAAGCAGCAAUGCGCCGAUGGAGUGCCUCGCGGCCUAUCAGCUAGUUGGUGAGGUAACGGCUCACCAAGGCGACGACGGGUAGCUGGCCUGAGAGGAUGGCCAGCCACAGUUGGGACUGAGACACGGCCCAGACCUCCGUAGGGAGG
This 234-nucleotide ribosomal RNA is filed under the name uncultured bacterium. RNAcentral's name for it is "partial 16S ribosomal RNA". It matches the Rfam family "Bacterial small subunit ribosomal RNA", at positions 118 to 347 of the family's 1533-position model. The record is from RNAcentral.